RNAcentral lists this long non-coding RNA (867 nucleotides) under Olea europaea (common olive). RNAcentral's name for it is "long non-coding RNA (OEUR_LNC003713)". Lineage: Eukaryota; Viridiplantae; Streptophyta; Magnoliopsida; Lamiales; Oleaceae. The record is from RNAcentral.
GCCAAUCCAGCCACUUUCCGGCGAAACCGAACCCAUAUCCAGGUUCAGCAGGCUGAGGCGCUCCCUCGGCUGUGGCGCGUGGCGGCGGCGGCGACCGGCGACGGCGGCGCGUGGCGGCGGUUCCGGGCGAGCUUCCUUCGGGCAGUUUGCUUAUUUUAUUCCCCUGAACGCACUGACACUGUUUAUUUUCUGUUUCAGGUUAUACAGAAAAAGUUGGACAAUUUUGCCCCCGGUGGAUCGACGGUUGAAUCUGCAUAUAUCUACUGAAUUACUUUAGGCCAAGAUUGCGGUCCUAAAGCAGUAGAUUCGCAUCUCUCUCGAUAAUACGGACUCAGACACGUCCGCUCUGGUAAAUUGGCUUAACCCGUUAAUUUUUCAGCAUUAGCGCGUCACCGUGUGGGGUGACAAUAGGUUGGGGGUUGUCAUUGCUUGGCAACCAUUGCUUGUGCUAGAAUUAGGGUUAUGUGCUCUUAAUUGAUCUUUUUGAUUGAGUAUUUGAUUUGGGUUUGAAAUUAGUUUUGUAAUUCUUAGUGAUCAAAAUUAUUGUGGGACUAGUUAUCUGCUAGACAUAUUUUUGCUACAUUGUUAUUUCCGCUGCUUACUUAUUCCGUUAGAAAUACCGUGACUUUACCCUUUCGAACAUUCCCUUGAUCUAAGACCGCGAGUCUUACGAAACCCUGGGAAUCUAGAACGGAGUAUAUUAUUGUGACCCCUAGGACUACUUUGUGUGGUUUGAUUGUGGUUUGUGCAUUUUUUGGCUAUUGUGUGAAGAUGACAACUCAUAGUUUUGAUUUGGGAAUUUUUAACGGAAAGGGUGACUUUGCUAUUUGGCAACAAAAAAUGAAGGGUAUUUUAGUCCAACAAAAG